GACGAACGCUGGCGGCGUGCUUAACACAUGCAAGUCGAACGGAAAGGCCCUGCUUUUGUGGGGUGCUCGAGUGGCGAACGGGUGAGUAACACGUGAGUAACCUGCCCUUGACUUUGGGAUAACUUCAGGAAACUGGGGCUAAUACCGGAUAGGAGCUCCUGCUGCAUGGUGGGGGUUGGAAAGUUUCGGCGGUUGGGGAUGGACUCGCGGCUUAUCAGCUUGUUGGUGGGGUAGUGGCUUACCAAGGCUUUGACGGGUAGCCGGCCUGAGAGGGUGACCGGCCACAUUGGGACUGAGAUACGGCCCAGACUCCUACGGGAGGCAGCAGUGGGGAAUAUUGCACAAUGGGCGGAAGCCUGAUGCAGCAACGCCGCGUGCGGGAUGACGGCCUUCGGGUUGUAAACCGCUUUCGCCUGUGACGAAGCGUGAGUGACGGUAAUGGGUAAAGAAGCACCGGCUAACUACGUGCCAGCAGCCGCGGUGAUACGUAGGGUGCGAGCGUUGUCCGGAUUUAUUGGGCGUAAAGGGCUCGUAGGUGGUUGAUCGCGUCGGAAGUGUAAUCUUGGGGCUUAACCCUGAGCGUGCUUUCGAUACGGGUUGACUUGAGGAAGGUAGGGGAGAAUGGAAUUCCUGGUGGAGCGGUGGAAUGCGCAGAUAUCAGGAGGAACACCAGUGGCGAAGGCGGUUCUCUGGGCCUUUCCUGACGCUGAGGAGCGAAAGCGUGGGGAGCGAACAGGCUUAGAUACCCUGGUAGUCCACGCUGUAAACGGUGGGUACUAGGUGUGGGGUCCAUUCCACGGGUUCCGUGCCGUAGCUAACGCUUUAAGUACCCCGCCUGGGGAGUACGGCCGCAAGGCUAAAACUCAAAGGAAUUGACGGGGCCCCGCACAAGCGGCGGAGCAUGCGGAUUAAUUCGAUGCAACGCGUAGAACCUUACCUGGGUUUGACAUGGAUCGGGAGUGCUCAGAGAUGGGUGUGCCUCUUUUGGGGUCGGUUCACAGGUGGUGCAUGGCUGUCGUCAGCUCGUGUCGUGAGAUGUUGGGUUAAGUCCCGCAACGAGCGCAACCCUUGUUCACUGUUGCCAGCACGUUAUGGUGGGGACUCAGUGGAGACCGCCGGGGUCAACUCGGAGGAAGGUGGGGAUGACGUCAAGUCAUCAUGCCCCUUAUGUCCAGGGCUUCACGCAUGCUACAAUGGCUGGUACAGAGAGUGGCGAGCCUGUGAGGGUGAGCGAAUCUCGGAAGGUCGGUCUCAGUUCGGAUUGGGGUCUGCAACUCGACCUCAUGAAGUCGGAGUCGCUAGUAAUCGCAGGUCAGCAACGCUGCGGUGAAUACGUUCCCGGGGCA
This 1346-nucleotide ribosomal RNA is filed under the name uncultured bacterium. RNAcentral describes it as "partial 16S ribosomal RNA". It matches the Rfam family "Bacterial small subunit ribosomal RNA", at positions 28 to 1381 of the family's 1533-position model. The record is from RNAcentral.